GGCCUGAUGGCGCAAUGGUAGCGCGUUACUUUCCGGUCUCCUCCCGACUCCUCUCGACUCUCCCAGGUCGAAGGGAGCGCGAGCAAACGUGGCUGGUAAAGGUUCUGGGUUCGAGUCCCAGUCGGGUCG
The sequence is a transfer RNA, 129 nucleotides long. It matches the Rfam family "tRNA". From Rfam's summary of the family: Transfer RNA (tRNA) molecules are approximately 80 nucleotides in length. Their secondary structure includes four short double-helical elements and three loops (D, anti-codon, and T loops). The record is from Rfam.